Molecule: ribosomal RNA, 252 nt
Filed under: uncultured Bacteroidales bacterium
Lineage: Bacteria; Pseudomonadati; Bacteroidota; Bacteroidia; Bacteroidales
Description: partial 16S ribosomal RNA
Rfam family: Bacterial small subunit ribosomal RNA
Source: RNAcentral
UACGGAGGAUGCGAGCGUUAUCCGGAUUUAUUGGGUUUAAAGGGUGCGUAGGCGGGAUGCCAAGUCAGCGGUAAAAAUGCGGUGCUCAACGCCGUCGAGCCGUUGAAACUGACACCCUUGAGUGAGUGAGAAGUAAGCGGAAUGCGUGGUGUAGCGGUGAAAUGCAUAGAUAUCACGCAGAACGCCGAUUGCGAAGGCAGCUUACCGGCGCUCAACUGACGCUGAGGCACGAAAGUGCGGGUAUCGAACAGG